Molecule: unclassified non-coding RNA, 9958 nt
Filed under: Pomacea canaliculata
Lineage: Eukaryota; Metazoa; Mollusca; Gastropoda; Architaenioglossa; Ampullariidae
Description: dual specificity mitogen-activated protein kinase kinase 4-like, transcript variant X4
Source: RNAcentral
AUGUUAAAUUAUUUUGAGCCGGCUAUUUUAGCAAACUGUUGCGCUGCGUUACCCGACUGGAAGCUGUUGUCUCUUUGGUAAAAAGAAAAAAAAGAUUCAAACUAAAACUUUUAAUAUAAUAUUUUCUAUUUUAUGAUCAACAUGUGUUCUAUCUUUUAAAAACUAAAUCUCAGAAAUGUCGUGCAUUCCUACUACAUGUAGUAAUUUAUAUUUUGGAAGAUAUUAUAUGACACUAAAAAUUGGCAAACGCGAAGAUAAUUAAGCCAGCCUUUCAAGAAAGGAAUUGGGAAUUGGUGUUUUAAGCAGAGCCAGCAACUAAGGUUAUAUCACGGCAAAAAGGCAGCCAGUCCUGUAAACAGAUGUCACAUGCAGAAAAAGAACAGCGUGCUUAAUUGAGAGCCGAACCCGGGACGGCCGACUGUAUUGCCAACGGACCGCGCUUACGAGAAAAGAGCAGGAAAAAAAAUUAAUAAGUGGGAAUUUAUAAAGCGAAAUAUCUCAGCCAAAGCGGACUCAUUGCACUGAAUAAUAUCACAAAAUAGAAACAAAGAUGUAGACAAGUUAACAAAAUAGUAACAAAGAUGUAGAACGACAUCACAAAAUGUAGAACAAAAUAGUAAAGAUCUAGAACGAAGAACAAUGAAAUGCGAGGACUCGCUGCGUUCCAGGAAUAUAGGACGAUCACUGUAGAUUUAACGGUAACGACUCCAGAGAAUAAGGUUAGUGACAUCAGGAGAAUGCUUGGAAGAUACAUGUAUUUAGUAAUCUUGAUAAUAUGGAGAAAUGUUAUUAUAUGAGGGUGAUCAUCGCUUCAGCUAGUUUAUUCACUGUACCUCAAGGUCGCUGCUAAGUGGAAUACAAAGCUUUCACGAGUUUUAUAGGUGUAAAUAAAUGAAACCUUCGAAAACAUAUUGAACAUUAAAGCCAUCUUUUUUCUUUCUUUCUAACAUAUUUCCCGCCGUGCAUGUUGACCAACACACAAACACAUGAACUUGCAGACGAUUCGUGAUUGAAGGGACACCACUGCAAUCCAUCGUCCGUCGAAUUUCAAAAAGUACUCUCCCGUGAUCUUUUUUUUUUUUUAUAAAUUAUUAUUCACGUUGCAAUAAAACAGUUUCCACAAGACCUGCUUUUUCUUUGAUAAUGGCUGUGAAUAAAAUAAGUCACUUAUUCUUAUUUUAAUUUUAAAUAUGCUGAACAUUGUUCAGGUGUGUGACAAGUUUUUUGUGCGGGGAGGACGUGCUGAGACCUUCUCGUGAGAUCAGACGAGGUCUGGUGACAAGGGCAGUAAAUGACGUCAAGGGAUUUUCCCGAGGAGAAUCAUCGAUGAGUCAUCCACAAGAAACGAACAUCAGGGCCCAAUCAUAUUUCCUAUAAGUACGUUGUCGCUACUACCUGUUUCAUCGAAUCAGCCAAAGCACAAGGGCACCAGGGGGACGCCGUUUCAGGCCAGCGUCCUGCUCUGCAGGACCGGCAAAUCUCGCCAAUUUCUGAGCAAAUUUUCAAGAUGGCGACCCCGGAUAGCCCAAAUAGCGACAGUGAAAUUCAAGCAAGCAGGCAAAGUUUACGACUCGAGUUUAACUCUGGAGGGUCUCGACAAGGAUCCCCAUCGCUAGCAGACAUGGGACAUACAACACAAAUAGAGCGGUUGAGGUCCAGAGCUAUUGAAAGAUCUACUGGGAAACUUCAGAUCUCUCCUGGACAGACUUUUGACUUUACAGCUGAUGAUAUGAAAGAUCUUGGUGAAAUAGGUAGAGGAAACUAUGGGACAGUCAACAAAAUGCUGCACAAAAUGACUAACACUGUGAUGGCAGUAAAGCCUUAUCACUCAGGCAGUGAUCUAUGGCUCAGGCCUGCAUCGUCAACCAUGUUGAACUUUCGGUGUGGUGCGACUUCAGUGGUACUUGACUUUAAGUGGCUGGUGAGAGGUGCCAUCACAACGUGGAAUUUUCCAGUGGUACUGUUUUUGCUUUGUCAAAAAUGGCUGCCGUCAGAAAGCAAGCGAGUGUUUAAGAGAAUAAGAUCAACUGUGGAGGAGAGAGAGCAGAAACAGUUGCUAAUGGACCUAGAUGUGGUCAUGCGAAGCAACAACUGUCCAUACAUUGUCCAGUUCUAUGGGGCUUUAUUCAAAGAGGGAGACUGUUGGAUCUGUAUGGAGCUUAUGGACACAUCAUUAGACAAGUUCUACAAGUUUGUCUAUGGACAUUUGCAGAGCUCUAUACCUGAAAAUAUUUUAGGCAAAAUCACAGUCGCUACAUUAAAAGCACUCAACUACCUGAAGGAGCACCUAAAAAUUAUUCAUCGAGAUGUCAAGCCAUCAAACAUUUUGCUGGACAGAAAAGGAGCGAUCAAGCUGUGUGACUUCGGCAUCAGUGGUCAUCUGGUGGAUUCCAUAGCCAAGAGUCGAGAUGCUGGUUGCAGGCCAUACAUGGCUCCUGAAAGAAUAGACCCUCGGGCUUCCAGUCAUGGAUAUGAUGUCCGAUCAGAUGUUUGGAGCUUAGGUAUAACUUUGAUGGAGCUAGCUACCGGCCGGUUUCCCUAUCCCAAGUGGAAGAGUGUUUUUGACCAGCUGCAGCAGGUGGUGCAGGGGUGUGCACCACGCCUUCCUCAUGAUAAAACUUUCUCUGACGAGUUUGUGAAUUUCAUUAACAAAUGUUUAACAAAAGAUGAGAAACAGCGGCCAAAGUAUAACAAGUUGCUGGAUGAUCCCUUCAUUAAGCUUUCGGAAGAGCUGGAAGUGGAUGUAGCCUCAUAUGUAUGUUGUAUCCAUGACCAAAUGAAGGACUGUGUCAGCCUUACACCUACUGAAACCUCAUUGUCGUAACAGCAGACUGAUUCUAGCUAUCAUCUGCUUUUACAACAGUGCAAAAGGGCUUUUAUGGUCCCGCCAUGAUCAAACAGGGAUUCUUGAUGGGAACUUAUUCAGGAGUUCAGGAACCUGCCGUGCAAGUUAUGCUGAAGCUUUGAGCUGUUACCCAGCGGUAGUGUGUACAGUGUUUGAUAGAUGUGAGCAUAAUUAUGUCUGCAAAAGUACAAAAUUCAUUAUGAUGGUUGUUGAAAUUCUUCAUCUGUGUUAUAAUGUCAUUGUUUUUUCAUGAUUCACACAGAGACAAGGUAUUAGACCCUAGUUGUUAAGAUGUUGAUUAUGUUUGUAAAACUACCUUUAGAUGGAAACAUACUUUUUCUGUAAAAUCCUUUUGAGACACUUGUUUUUCUAUGAAAGAAAGAAUGAAGAUGCAGGCUGAGCUUAGUUGCCAAGAGGUCAGAACUGUCAGGGCAUUGAUCUUGAAUUUCAGCAAGUGCCUUGCAUAGUGCCAGACGUUUCAUUUUUGGUCAAUAGGUUAUGGGUGGCUGUUGUCAUUGCCAGCACAUUUCUAGGUGAAUCUGACAAAGGAAUGUCUUGAAUAAAAUGUUAGCAAAUAAAGAAUCUUUAUAGCCUUGCCUAGAGCUGAGCUAUUCAGAUUUUAAAUGUAGACCAGGAAAUAAGGACAUCCAGAUCUCAACAAAAAAGGUUUGGUGAAAGGGUUUAGGAAGCAUAAGCAUUGCACGAAAAAAAAAGUGAAUAGAAAAUAUAUAAUUUAAAAAACAUGUAAGCUAGCAUGGUGUAAAGAAGAUGAAGUCUUGAAAUCUGCAAAUGAUUGAUGCAAACACUAAAUUUUUAGUUUGACUGUUUGGUAUAAUGUUCUAUAUAUUUAGAGCCUGGACAGGUAACAGCUGUUAAUAAUAAACUUAUGUAUAACCUAAGAGACAUCACAUCUCUCCUGUCUGGCAUUCACCUCUAGAAACAAAAUGGAAUAAAGUACUGUUUUAUAGAAUGUAAAGUAUUUAUAGUAAGAACAAUGAAGUAGGUUGAUUUGUGUUAACCAUCUUAAAUUUAUCUCUGUGAGCAACAGGCUUGGUGGAACAGCAUUUUAGUAUGUGCCAAACUUAAGCAUCAUUUUACAGUGCAGCAUUUUGUUAAGACACCUUUGGCACCUUUCUCACACAGCUUUACAAUGAUGAGUUGUGACCAUGACUUCAUUUUUAAAGUUUAGUUGUUGUUUUUUUCGGUAAGCCUGCUUGUAGGUAUGUGGGUGGGAGGGGGGAUGCUCUGUAAGGUCUGUAAUGCAGAUGCAGAAACCUGCUAGUGAUACUUAAUCCUAUGAAAAAAAUCUUAGGAAGGGACAGGGAGAAGGAACUUUAGUUACAUGAAGAAUGUAUAAAAUAUGUGAAUACCAGCAUCAUUGGUCAGUAUCAGUGCCAUAUCUCUGGUUUUAUGGAGUGAGGGUUUUGUUUUGUUUUGCUGUUUUUGCUCGAACCAAGUUUUUAAAACAUUUUUGCAAAAUAUUGCCAGACUACCCUCUGUCAUUUUAAGAAAGGUUAGACGCUGGUAGGGAGAAACACGAAAUCCCCAUUACUUAUAUUUCUUGAUAUAGCUUAAAUUUAGUUGCUCGAGUUGCCAGCCAGAACUCUGUGUGUGUGUUUUUUUUACUUGUUUAAAUUACAGGUGUAAAGGAAUAAAAAAUAAAUGAGGGCUGGGACCUUUCAAAUCCAGGACAUAAUACUGAGCUGUUUUUUCCAUGUUUUAUAAGAUUUGACUUGGUAUUGUAAGUGGCAUGGGCGGUUGUUGCUUUUAGUCUUUUCAUUUUCUUUUGUUUUGAUGAGUGGAGAGAAUGCUUGUUGUGCCUGCGCAUUUUGUUCUUGUUCUUUUUGCAAUUAGAUGUACAUUCGGUGCCUUGGAUCAGUCAUGCUUAGUUGUGGUUAUUUAAAGGCAGCCACCCUUUCUGAAAUAUUCAGACCUUCCAUACUUUUUAUCAUUGCAGCUGUGAGGCCUAGUUAGAACUGUUGCUGUUUCUAAAUGUAAGUAGCUUGUCUGAUGUUCAGAGUGCUGUGUUCAGGCGGCUAGAUGCCCAAAAUUUAGCAAAAUGGUCAAUCAAGAAUGGUAUCCUUUUUUAAAUUAAAAAAAAAAUCAUUAUUCAUAACACUGGGUAAAUUAGGUAUGAUUAUGAUUGAGUUAUGUAGGAAAAUAUGGCAGAAAAAGAGUUAUAUUCUGUUUUUUUCCAUCACCACACAAGACCCAGUGUGUGACUAUAGUCAUCUUGCAACCUUUGAUCACUGCAUAUGCAUGCAAGAGUAUAGGCAUAUUUAAGUGUUUUUUGCUUUAAGUAGCUGUUUUUUUAUACUAUAUUAUUUAAGGAAUUAUUAAUGCAGUUUUGUCAGUUCUGUUCUUUUGUUAGGUUGCAGGGAAUUCUUGUACCCCUGAAGAAGAUGAAAGACUUAAGAAAAAUAAAUGUGAAUAUUUUCAUUGUAAAUUUGAUAUUAGAGUCAUCAAGCUAUCAUUCUUUGUUGGAUUUUGCUUCCUUUGCUCCAUUAUUUUGACAAAAUACCAAGGCUUCUGUGAUUAUUAUAUGUGAUUUUCAUUUACAUAGGAUUGGAAGAAGUCACAUUGGUGAUGUCUUGUUUCUGAAAUGUGUCUUUACCAUACAGUGCUUUGUAAGGUGAUCUGAGUUCCAGGAAGAGGUUUCUUUUUUUAAACUGUGGUGGUGUUAAAACAGCUCAUGAUAUCUGCAGGCAUAACACCACAAUCAACACUGGGCAUAAAAAAGCAUUCAAGAAAAAAGAAUUUAAUUGCUCACUUUUUAGGGAUUUAUUCCUGACUUCGGUCUAAUUGGUAUCUUAGUUUGCUUAGUUAAUUUCAUUCAGCAGCAGCAUUUCCGGUCAAUGGGUCAGUUUUCACUGAUUCAUUUUUUUUUUUUUUUAAUGUGUGCUAUGUGCAUUAUGCCCUUUUAUUUCUGUUACGUCUCUCUCUUUCUCUCACUCAAGAAUGUAUGUGGGUGUGUGGUUAUGUAGAGUACUCCAAGCAUUUACAGACAAUGUAAGUUUACUUAUUUUCAAGUGGGCAUCCACAGGAUCUUGCUCAUGGUGCCGACUGAAAGAUUGUGUCCAUGCUUCAUGCAUAAUGUGUUAUGUGCCCUUGGAGUCUCUUCCUGUGGCUUUUAGUUUGCAGCUUGCCAAUUUUGGACAUGCCAUAUAGUUUUCACAAUAGGAAUGGCAACAAAAAUUAUUGUUAAAACUUGGACCUUUUUCUAUAGAAAACCGGCAAAAGAGCAUCUGGAAAGUAAGCCAAGGUCACACAGGAAUGAAAGCAGAAAUCUUUUGUUUGAGCAUAACCACAAUUCAUUUCUCAUGAAAAAUUCAAAUUCCAUUAUAAUGUGCAGCCUUCAUGAAAAUAUUGGCUAUAUUAUACUAUAUGUCUAGUUCAUGAUUUAACAUUUUAAAAACUGUUAAAAGCUUUUGCUCAUUUUUAGUGAAAUUUACAUGCAUACUUGAGCGAACAUUACAUAAGCAUUGGUUUUGGAAGAAAAGGAAUUGUUUAUACCAUUCUUAUGGAUGUAGGUGGAAGGCAGAAUAGAGGUGGACAAAUCAGUUCUUUUCUGUUUCAUGGAUAUAAGUUCAAAUAUUGUUAAAGCUGUGCUAGUAGAUCAUGGUUACUUUUUAAGAAGUUCUUUCAGGAUUUAUUUUGACAUAUACUCAUGUUGCGCUUUUCAGAGGUGUUCUUCAUUAGAAUUAUUUCAGGAAUAGUAUAUAUAACAUCUGCAUUGUCAGGUCUUUUUUUAAAUAGGCUUUUUUUCUUUUUAUGAUUGUAAUAGGGAUGUCUUUUUUUAUUAUGAAAUCUUUUGCAGGAUGUAUUUAUGUAAAAAGUAUCUGAAGGAAUUUGUGAUAUGGCCUAUAGACAAGAAUUAUGCCACAAGAUUAAUACUGAGCAAAUAAGCACUGGUUAUUUUAUGUAUGCGACUUCUGACUUAUAAACGCGAACAUGGGCAGUUGUUUCAGGAAUGGCACAGGGGCUUAGGUUUAUGUCAGCAUUGGCAUAAGAUCUGUCAGCCAACAGAUCAAUGAGAUUUCUGGAAUUGUGUUUUUUUUUGGGUUUUUUUUUUUUUGCAAGUCAUAAAGUGACAAAAAAGAAAGAAGAAAAAUAGAAACAUAAAGACAAAUUAAGACUAAAUCCUUGGAGCUUAUGGCCCUUCAGCUGGGAAGCUGAUAAUCCAGAAUGAUGUUAUAGGUAGUUAUUUUUUAUUAUUGUUAUCUUCUUUAUUGUACAGCUGAACUGUGUGAGCUUAAAUAUGAUUUUAUAUAUAUAUUUAGAGGACUGAUAGAUUGUAAUUUAUUUUAAACCACUACAAUGGGAUUUAAAACUGGUACAGAUUCCUUCUUGAUAUUACACUUGAUCAGUUAGAUUAUAUUGUUAAAAACAGUGGGCAGAAUAUGUAUUCUUUAUAUUUAUAAUCUGUUGGAAACUACAGUAUCUGUGGAUUUAUUGGGGAGGACUAACUGAAAUUUUUAUGUUAGAAUAUCCAAGUAUGCAGUAAAAGGGGUGAUAUUGCUCUUUGGCUGUACUAAACAGUAAAAAGCUCUUUUUCUUUGGUUUAUAAAACCUUGCAGAAGGCAUGGCACAAAUAGGAAUGAAUUAAGAUGUGGGUGGUUUUAGAAUAAUUUGCUAAGAAUACUAUAAGCAUGUUUUGCCAUAGUAACAGCAGUGGAAUUAUUUCUGUUUUGGCAUUGAAAGAUGAGAAUAAGGAAUCUUUUGUUCCAAAUUUUUUCUUGCUGUUAAGAAAAGUAGCUGCCUCAGAAACACAGAGAAUCUCUUGCAGGAGUACUACACGUUAUUUUAAAAAGACAUGCAUACAGUGAUAAUAUAUACAAAGCAAAGAUACUAUUGUGAAUGGUGUUAUUUUGAGUUCUUAUUGAAAAGACAGCAGGCUGAGUGUGGGGGAUGAGGGAUGAAGACAGACCAUGCUACUUAAUACAGCUGGGACAUAUAUUGUGAAUAUGUGAUGGUAUAUUUGCACUAAGAUGAACGUGAGAUUAGGAGAUCUGCAUUGAUAUGUCAUAUUCCUUUUGUUUGUGCAUCAACAUUCCAUCAUGUCUCAGCAGGUUUUUAAACAUUUAUUUUCUUCUAACAGCAAUCAUAUACUUGAGCAUAUGCAUCAUUUUAAGGCCGUCACAUUUUUUCAUAGGUUUCAGAAAGUGGGCUUAAUAGAGCUACAAACAAAUAUAGCUUCAGCUUAUGUUAACCAUUUGGGUGGGUUUUUUUUUUUGUCUUUCUUUUGUGUGUUGAUUUGUGGUUUUUUUUGUUUGUUUGGGGUUUUUUUUUCCAUUUCAAGUGGGUUGGAAAUGGGAUUAAGCUGGUUGGCAUUUUGGAGGUUUUUGAGAGUUGAUACUUUGGAGUUUUUCUUCAUAUCAUGCUCUGAUUUUGCUUCAUGGUUUGAUUCAUUAUACGUUUUGCCAUCCAUUUUAUUUGAAGUUUAAAUAGAACUUUUAAAAAGUAGUGGAUUUUUUUUCCUUGAAAAAAAUGAUACUGUUUAGCAUUAUAUUGCCCCAGGUGCAUCAUGAAAGUACCUGGAAAUUAGAAAGGUUAAUGGGCACAUUUAGAUAGAAUAAGAAUAUUUUAUCUAGGUCUGAUAUCAAAAGUAAACGAAUUGCCUGUAAAAGUAAUGAUAACAGAUCAUCAAAGCCCAAAGAUAUCAGAAUGUUCAGUAAAAGCCCACAGAUAUCAGAAUGUUCAGUACUAUUCUUUCAAUUUAAUUUUCAACAUUCACGUGAUAAAUAAAAACCUGGCAUUUAUAUCAUACUAAUCAUAUCAGUUCUUGCAGAGGCUGAGAGAUUUGUUGGUGAGAAGUGUUUUUGAUAGUCUGAUACACUGCAGCUGCAUGCAGACUAUUCGUAACAACUAUAUCCCACUACCAGUGGUAUUUGGAUAAAAGUGGUGCUUGACAGCUUGGCUACCCUAGCAGGAACUAUUUUGACAGACUGCUUUAGGUGAGGUUUACAGUGACAUUUAACUAUUAUCUGAUUAUUUCAAUCAGAUUUCCAUGGUCUAGAAUGAGAUUUAAAAAAAAAACAAUUUUAAUAACUAACAAGAAUAGUGUGAAAAUUGGAUUUGUAAGACCUAAAAGAGCUAUAUGUUAUUCAUUCCUGUGUUUCAUUAAUAAUUGAAAUAGCUAGUACUCUUCUGUCACUGAUUACUGUUAAAGUGGUACUCCAAAAACAUCUCUUCAUUUUUUUUUUUUUUAAAGGGGGAAAAGCUGUCAGUUAAAAGCAACAUCUGCAUGACAUGCAAAGUACACUGGUAAACAAAACAUCAUUUUGUAUAUGUAAUUCUAACAACUGAGAUCUGUGUAGGCUGCUGACAAAAUUGCGUAGAUAUAUUUAUGGCGACUUUUUAUGAUGACUGACAAAUUAUGCAGUUGCAAAAAAGUUUUUGGGGGGUAGUAGUAUGUUUUUGGUUUUGUUUUUUUUUUAAAUUUUGAAAUCGAGAAAGAAGGCGCUUGAGUAGCAGAUAUUGUUCUGCAAAUGUAAAUGAAUUUCUUUACUAAAGCUAGAUGUGUGGAAGAAUGGUCACUUUGUAAGGUGUACCUGGACAAACAAAGCACAGACCAUGUUGAGUGUGCAAAGGAGAAAGGGUCUAUGAAAGAACCUCUGCAAAGAAGUGGAUUCAAUACAGUGGCCAUUCGAGACUUGCUGCCAGCAGCGCAUGAAAAGAUUGAUUCAUCAAUAACUUACGAAUCGCCUCCCCUGAUAUGCAACAUGCAGCGUGUUCUGUGUCCAGAGGCUGGGUGGUGCUACCAUUGUGGGUGAUGGGCCUCACUUGGGGGUCCUAGGAUUGGCAAGACGCUGCCAUGCCGAAAGGAGUGGGGAGGAGCUUGGAGUAUGUGAGUGAAUUGUGUGUGUGUGAAACGCACAGAUGCAUUGUAUGUUAACAAAAGAAAGAAGAGAACCAAAUUUGCUUUGUGUCAAAUGUUACUUGUUGAUUUAGAAUUUUGUGCAUAUAUUUAUCUUGCAGUUUGCAAAAAAAAAAAAAUAAUAAUAAUCAGUGGUGUAUAUAUUUUACCAAAAAAUAACACCACCAAAUUACUGACACCUUCAAAAUAAAUAUAUGAUGAUGCAGUUUUGAUGAACUGCUGCGUCAAUAUUCGUA